This 1434-nucleotide ribosomal RNA is filed under the name Lactiplantibacillus plantarum. Its description in RNAcentral is "bacterial SSU rRNA". It matches the Rfam family "Bacterial small subunit ribosomal RNA". Lineage: Bacteria; Bacillati; Bacillota; Bacilli; Lactobacillales; Lactobacillaceae. The record is from RNAcentral.
GCAAGUCGAACGAACUCUGGUAUUGAUUGGUGCUUGCAUCAUGAUUUACAUUUGAGUGAGUGGCGAACUGGUGAGUAACACGUGGGAAACCUGCCCAGAAGCGGGGGAUAACACCUGGAAACAGAUGCUAAUACCGCAUAACAACUUGGACCGCAUGGUCCGAGUUUGAAAGAUGGCUUCGGCUAUCACUUUUGGAUGGUCCCGCGGCGUAUUAGCUAGAUGGUGGGGUAACGGCUCACCAUGGCAAUGAUACGUAGCCGACCUGAGAGGGUAAUCGGCCACAUUGGGACUGAGACACGGCCCAAACUCCUACGGGAGGCAGCAGUAGGGAAUCUUCCACAAUGGACGAAAGUCUGAUGGAGCAACGCCGCGUGAGUGAAGAAGGGUUUCGGCUCGUAAAACUCUGUUGUUAAAGAAGAACAUAUCUGAGAGUAACUGUUCAGGUAUUGACGGUAUUUAACCAGAAAGCCACGGCUAACUACGUGCCAGCAGCCGCGGUAAUACGUAGGUGGCAAGCGUUGUCCGGAUUUAUUGGGCGUAAAGCGAGCGCAGGCGGUUUUUUAAGUCUGAUGUGAAAGCCUUCGGCUCAACCGAAGAAGUGCAUCGGAAACUGGGAAACUUGAGUGCAGAAGAGGACAGUGGAACUCCAUGUGUAGCGGUGAAAUGCGUAGAUAUAUGGAAGAACACCAGUGGCGAAGGCGGCUGUCUGGUCUGUAACUGACGCUGAGGCUCGAAAGUAUGGGUAGCAAACAGGAUUAGAUACCCUGGUAGUCCAUACCGUAAACGAUGAAUGCUAAGUGUUGGAGGGUUUCCGCCCUUCAGUGCUGCAGCUAACGCAUUAAGCAUUCCGCCUGGGGAGUACGGCCGCAAGGCUGAAACUCAAAGGAAUUGACGGGGGCCCGCACAAGCGGUGGAGCAUGUGGUUUAAUUCGAAGCUACGCGAAGAACCUUACCAGGUCUUGACAUACUAUGCAAAUCUAAGAGAUUAGACGUUCCCUUCGGGGACAUGGAUACAGGUGGUGCAUGGUUGUCGUCAGCUCGUGUCGUGAGAUGUUGGGUUAAGUCCCGCAACGAGCGCAACCCUUAUUAUCAGUUGCCAGCAUUAAGUUGGGCACUCUGGUGAGACUGCCGGUGACAAACCGGAGGAAGGUGGGGAUGACGUCAAAUCAUCAUGCCCCUUAUGACCUGGGCUACACACGUGCUACAAUGGAUGGUACAACGAGUUGCGAACUCGCGAGAGUAAGCUAAUCUCUUAAAGCCAUUCUCAGUUCGGAUUGUAGGCUGCAACUCGCCUACAUGAAGUCGGAAUCGCUAGUAAUCGCGGAUCAGCAUGCCGCGGUGAAUACGUUCCCGGGCCUUGUACACACCGCCCGUCACACCAUGAGAGUUUGUAACACCCAAAGUCGGUGGGGUAACCUUUUAGGAACCAGCCGC